Helianthus annuus (common sunflower) is the source of this 668-nucleotide long non-coding RNA. RefSeq lists it as uncharacterized. The transcript has 3 exons. NCBI's taxonomy places the organism in Eukaryota, Viridiplantae, Streptophyta, Magnoliopsida, Asterales, Asteraceae. The record is from RefSeq and is a predicted model, not a curated record.
CCCUCUCAUGUUCAGCCGCUGCCUUUUUGUUUCCCCCUAAACCCUUUGUCUGCAACACAAAUGUGCUUUGUCUCUCUCUCUCGAUCACACUUUAGACAGCAAAACACACUCACAUUUACAACUUCACCUCCUUCACAAACAAACCUAUAAUCAGACUUCUCAAUCUCCUCCACCUCUCGAUCUCGACUCACACCACACAUCGCACAACACCGUAACACCUUUCGCAACCUAUUUUGGGUACCUCUAUUCACGCCCGCAAGCCAUCGGAGUUUACCGGAGACUCGCCGGAGAUCGAAGUAUGCCGGAGUGAACGAAGGAACUCAAACCCAGUUGUUUCGAUACAUGGACUUAGUCGGAGGAACCGGAAUCACCGGAGAAAGGACCUUCGCCAGGGACGAGAAUCACGUUCCGCAUAUCUCGGUGUCGGAUAAUCGCUUUGUUCGUUCUCUUGGAUCUUCCAAUCUUACUCGUGCGUACUUACAAGAAAUCGCAACACAAUCUCAGAUUUGGAUGAUGCAAGGAAUCUAGUAGGACUGCCUAGAAACACAUUUAAACUCUAAUACUUGUUGUACUAUAUCUUAUUUUCAAACAUGUAAUUCUUUCCAAUCUUUGUAUGAGACCAUUACUCAAUGAAAUGAAAUGAAACUUAAAUAGUUGUAUGUUAUUUA